GGUUGUGGAGCUUUAUUGGCUUAUACGGAGUAUUAAUGCUGGUGGGUAGUAAUUAUCGCAUCGCGAUUUUACUCACCGGAGCAUGACCAACGCCCCCGGGUAUUCAACACCCUGUGCGGCCCCAGCGUAGGCGGCGUCAGUGGCACUGGAUGCGGCCUCAGUGCGGCCAGGUCCCCAGGACAGCCCCGUAGCACCUCCUCGUCCUUGUUUGUUGGAUCAUGGCAGUUCCAAUAUAGCCGGUGGGCUUCGUCUUCUCGAGUUCCCGUGACAUGGUGAACAGAACAACCAGCAGGCAGCGGCAUGGGCUCAGCAGGGCGCUGGUGGCUUGAGCUCUAAGGAGGAUGAGGCCACCGCGGCAGUAGGCACCACUGCACACGACGACGAUGUCAACAUCCACUACAAUGGGCGAAGCCAGACGAGAGAGUCGCCGGGGUUGGAUGGCCUAAACACUGGGGUCGGCCACAUGGUUAAACAGUGCUAAAUAGUAAUCUUCCAUUGAUUUGAUCAAAUUCCGUCGGGGUCCGGCGACCCCGACAGCUACACGCAGCUCCGCCCCUGAUCUCGUCGUCUUGUGUGUGUGUUUAUGGCUGGCUCCUAAAUGUAGACUGAAGACGGAUCAUUGUUCUAGCAAAUCUUUUUUUUUUGAAAGAAAAUUGUUCUAGCAAAUCUCAGUCGGCUACAUAGAGUAACAAAAAUUGAGGCUUCAGUUUUAAUAGAGAGCAGAGGGGAUAGAGAUGCUAGACAUUCUUACUACAUUGUAAUAAUUAA
Molecule: long non-coding RNA, 768 nt
Organism: Panicum virgatum (switchgrass)
Lineage: Eukaryota; Viridiplantae; Streptophyta; Magnoliopsida; Poales; Poaceae
Exons: 3
Source: RefSeq, a predicted model, not a curated record